AGUGAACGCUGGCGGUAGGCCUAACACAUGCAAGUCGAACGGCAGCACAGUAAGAGCUUGCCCUUACGGGUGGCGAGUGGCGGACGGGUGAGGAAUACAUCGGAAUCUACUUUUUCGUGGGGGAUAACGUAGGGAAACUUACGCUAAUACCGCAUAUGAUCUACGGGUGAAAGCAGAGGAUCUUCGGACCUUUCGCGAUUGAAUGAGCCGAUGUCGGAUUAGCUAGUUGGCGGGGUAAAGGCCCACCAAGGCAACGAUCCGUAGCUGGUCUGAGAGGAUGAUCAGCCACACUGGAACUGAGACACGGUCCAGACUCCUACGGGAGGCAGCAGUGGGGAAUAUUGGACAAUGGGCGCAAGCCUGAUCCAGCCAUACCGCGUGGGUGAAGAAGGCCUUCGGGUUGUAAAGCCCUUUUGUUGGGAAAGAAAAGCAGCAGGUUAAUACCCCGCUGUUCUGACGGUACCCAAAGAAUAAGCACCGGCUAACUUCGUG
RNAcentral lists this ribosomal RNA (492 nucleotides) under uncultured bacterium. RNAcentral's name for it is "partial 16S ribosomal RNA". It matches the Rfam family "Bacterial small subunit ribosomal RNA", at positions 29 to 507 of the family's 1533-position model. The record is from RNAcentral.